This 468-nucleotide ribosomal RNA is filed under the name uncultured bacterium. RNAcentral describes it as "partial 16S ribosomal RNA". It matches the Rfam family "Bacterial small subunit ribosomal RNA", at positions 28 to 507 of the family's 1533-position model. The record is from RNAcentral.
GACGAACGCUGGCGGCGUGCUUAACACAUGCCAGUCGAACGGAAAGGCCCUGCUUUUGUGGGGUGCUCGAGUGGCGCACGGGUGAGUAACACGUGUGUAACCUGCCCUUGUCUUUGUGAUAACUUCAGGAAACUGGGGCUAAUACCGGAUAGGAGCUCCUGCUGCAUGGUGGGGGUUGGAAAGUUUCGGCGGUUGUGGAUGGACUCGCGGGUUAUCGGCUUGUUGGGGGAGUAGUGGAUUACCAAGGCUAUGACGGAUAGCCGGCCUUGGAGGGUGAACGGCCACAUGGGGACUGAGAGAGGGAGCAGAAGGCUACGGGAGGCAGCAGGGGGGAAUCUUGCACAAUGGGCGGAAGCCUGAUGCAGCAACGCCGCGUGCGGGAUGACCGCCUUCGAGUUGUAAACCGCUUUCGCCUGUGACGAAGCGGGAGUGACGGUAAUGGGUAAAGAAGCACCGGCUAACUACGUG